This 453-nucleotide ribosomal RNA is filed under the name uncultured bacterium. Its description in RNAcentral is "bacterial SSU rRNA". It matches the Rfam family "Bacterial small subunit ribosomal RNA", at positions 364 to 832 of the family's 1533-position model. The record is from RNAcentral.
UUCGCAAUGCCCGAAAGGGUGAACGAGCGACGCCGCGUGCGGGAUGAAGGCCUUCGGGUCGUAAACCGCUUUUGUAAGGGAAAAACUUAAUGAUGGUACCUUACGAAUAAGAGGUUACUAACUCUGUGCCAGCAGUAGCGGUAAUACAGAGGUGGCGACCGUUGUUCGGAAUCACUGGGCAUAAAGCGCGUGUAGGCGGCAUCGUAAGUCGGGUGUGAAAUCCCUCGGCCUAACCGAGGAAUUGCGCCCGAAACUACCUUGCUUGAGGACCAGAGGGGAGCCUGGAAUUCCUGGUGGAGCGGUGAAAUGCGUUGAUAUCAGGAGGAACACCGGCGGCGAAGGCGAGGCUCUGGCUGGUUACUGACGCUGAGACGCGAAAGCUAGGGGAGCAAACGGGAUUAGAUACCCCGGUAGUCCUAGCCGUAAACGAUGGGCACUAAGUAGAGGGGUUUU